RNAcentral lists this ribosomal RNA (253 nucleotides) under uncultured bacterium. Its description in RNAcentral is "partial 16S ribosomal RNA". It matches the Rfam family "Bacterial small subunit ribosomal RNA", at positions 524 to 776 of the family's 1533-position model. The record is from RNAcentral.
UACGUAGGGGGCAAGCGUUGUCCGGAUUUAUUGGGCGUAAAGAGCGUGUAGGCGGCCAGGUAGGUCCGUUGUGAAAACUAGAGGCUUAACCUCUAGACGUCGAUGGAAACCGUCUGGCUAGAGUCCGGAAGAGGAGAAUGGAAUUCCUGGUGUAGCGGUGAAAUGCGCAGAUAUCAGGAAGAACACCCGUGGCUAAGGCGGUUCUCUAGUACGGUACUGACGCUGAGACGCGAAAGCGUGGGGAGCGAACAGG